UGGCUCGGUGGUAGAGUGCUUGCCUUGCAUGCAUGAGGCCCUGGGUUCAAUUCCUUG
Non-coding RNA from Dipodomys ordii (Ord's kangaroo rat), 57 nucleotides. The record is from Rfam. Lineage: Eukaryota; Metazoa; Chordata; Mammalia; Rodentia; Heteromyidae.